CCUACGGGAGGCAGCAGUGAGGAAUAUUGGUCAAUGGCCGGAAGGCUGAACCAGCCAAGUCGCGUGAGGGACGACUGCCCUAUGGGUUGUAAACUUCUUUUAUAAGGGAAGAAUAAAUGCUACGUGUAGCAUGAUGCCUGUACCUUAUGUAUAAGCAUCGGCUAACUCCGUGCCAGCAGCCGCGGUAAUACGGAGGAUCCGAGCGUUAUCCGGAUUUAUUGGGUUUAAAGGGUGCGUAGGCGGUUUUUUAAGUUUAGUGUUAAAGGUUGGGGCUUAACCCUUGAUUUGCAUUUGAUACUGGAAGACUUGAGUACAGACGAGGUAGGCGGAAUAAGUUGAGUAGCGGUGAAAUGCUUAGAUAUAACGAAGAACUCCGAUAGCGAAGGCAGCUUACCAGACUGCAACUGACGCUGAGGCACGAGAGCGUGGGUAGCGAACAGGAUUAGAUACCCGUGUAGUC
Molecule: ribosomal RNA, 460 nt
Filed under: uncultured bacterium
Lineage: Bacteria
Description: partial 16S ribosomal RNA
Rfam family: Bacterial small subunit ribosomal RNA
Source: RNAcentral